CGCAGGUACAGCCCUAAAAGGAAAAAAGACCAAAAAAAAAGCAGGAGCUAUUAUUUCAUUAGUGGCGGUCAGAAGUCAGCCACUGCCCCCUGCCAUCCCCAGGAGAGCUGGUUAAACUCUGUCCAGACCCCAAUCCCAUGGCCUGUGAGAGUCCAGGCCUCUUCCUUCAAUUUGGGUGGGUUCCCACCUGUGGUUUUCAGGGCAUCCUGAGACGUCCCUUCUCUUGGGACGAGAUGUACAAAGCCAAGUACAAAGCCAGCCCCCUCGGGGGCUCCGUUAGUCCUCUGGGAAAGCGGGUCCUCCUAGGGAACUUUCACAUCCUGCUCCGGCACCAUCUCCACCCUGGCAGGUGGGGGAGCCUGGCGCCCUAGGGGGGAUCCCACCUGGCCUCAGGGUGCUGCCCCAUCUCUACCCUGAUACCCAUUUGCCACCCUUGCAUGUAGCAGCUUUUCCCUGUCCCCAUGUCCAUCCCUCACUCCGCCUUGUCCCUGGUCCUCACCCUCUGCUUUUUCCUCUCCCAUUCAAUGUGCACUUCACCCGUGAAGGCCGGAGGGGGGGUUCGCUUUUUUUUCUGUUUUUUUUUUUUUUUAAGGGCCGCACCUUCGGUAUAUGGUAGUUCCCGGGCUAGGGGCUGAGUCAGAGCCACAUUUGCCAGCUUAGAGCACAGCUCACAGCACAGCUCACAGCAACGCCAGAUCCUUAACCCACUGAGCAAGGCCCAGGAUCGAACCCGUGUCCUCAUGGAUCCCAGUUGGGUUUAUUAGCCACUGAGCCACAACGGGAACUCCCCAGCAGGGGUUUUCUACAACAGAGCUUUCCCUUGGUGAAACCCUGCUCUGAUCCCCAGUGUCCCUUAUAGCCAAGUCUUGGCACAUGAGCCCUACCCCGGCCCCCUCUCUCUGUCCCUUCAGGAUCCCUGGACUCCAGAUUUCCACCACAGAAAGGCAUCUGCAGCACCCAAGGGUGCCCAGCCAGGCACCUGUCUGUCCUUACCCCUCUCCUCCACAUGCACUGGCCCACUCCCGCCCCUCCCCUGCUAAACCAGGACUCAGAUCAGUAAACAUCUGCCGCCUCCAAGAAGUCCUCCCAGAUCCCCAAGGCGGGGCGAGAUGCCUGCUCUAGCUUCCGUAGCCCUUGCACUGGACACAUACUCUCCACCUGGCUCCCUCAGACUGUGAUUCCCCUGAAGCCAGGGACCAGCUCUGAUUUGCCUCUGUUUCCCCAGGGCCUGGCACAAAGCACAUGGAGUCUCAGCUGGAUGGGUGUUUGUUGAUUGACUGACUGACCGAAUGGAAGUGAAAGACUAUUGAGCCAGUCACCCUCCAGACUGGGCAAGCCACAGCCUCCGCCUCACCCCCACGCCAAAUGGCAAAGGGCUGGGUCUCCCCAUAAACCAGCUGGGAAGCCUGGCAGCCAGCCCGAGGGGCUAGGCGCUAAUGGCAGUUUCCAGUACAUGAAAGGGCCUAAGCCGUGACUGUGAGUCACCGCUGUCAACCCAGCACCCCAUCAGGAUUUUACAAGGGCUCUGAGGCCCCAGGGAAGGGGGUGCUCGCAUUGGCAGAGCUUUGGCCGGGAACAGACGUUUUAGACAGCAUCCCUGUGGACGCCGGCCAAAGCCCUUUGAAAUGCUGUCACCAAUUUACAGAGGAGGAAACCGAGGCUCCGAGAGGGGACGUGACUCACCGAGGUCAAGAAUGUAGUGAGUCACAUCGCGGCAUGUCUGGCAGCAGAGCCCAAGGCUUCUCCUUACUCAGGCCGCCUCCUCCGACAGAAAAGUAUCUGCCUUUUGUGGAGCACGUGCUGUGUGCCAGGCCCUGGACAUGCAUGAGCCCCCGUCUUAAAGAAGAAUAAUCUCAUUCAUUAAUUUCAAUCAUGAGAAUGAAUAAUCUCAGUCAUUGCAUUAUUUUUUUAAUGUGUAUUUAUUUUUUAUUCCUUUCUUUUCCUGGCACAUUUUUGAGGGUUUUUUUUUUUUCUCAUUGUCUAAAGUUUUACUAAAGUCUAGUUGAUUUACAAGGCUGUGAUCAUUUGCACAGCAAAGGGACUCAGUUACACAGAGACACGUAUCCAUUCUUUUUCAGAUUCUUUUCCUAUGCAGAUGAUCACAGACUAGACAGACAGCACAUUAGCGCCUUUAAUCCCCAGAACAACCCCCGAGGGAGGGGAAGUUCCCAGCUAGGGGUUGAAUCGGAGCUGCAGCUGACGGCCUACCCCACAGCCACAGGAAAGCAGGAUUCAAGCCGCAUAGGCAACCUACACCACAGCUCAUGGCAGCGCUGGGUCCUUAACCCACUAAGUGAAGCCAGGGAUUGAACUUGCAUCCUCAUGGAUCCUAGUUGGGCUCCUAACCUGUUGAGCCACAGCGGGAACUCCUGCCUCCAUUUUGUAUGUGAGGAGCUGGGACUCAGCAGCACAGGAGUUGCAGGGGCUGGAGUCCAGGUCUGUGGGCCUCGUAGCACAAGGGGCUUCCUGGGCUGAACAAGGUUUUUCUUUGGAAACUGCCUGGAGGCCACGUGCCUCGGGUCCCCUGCUUGGGGCAAAGGUGUGGAGGGAGGCGUGGGGGCACCUCGGUGGGCUGACUUGGGUGAACCACCUCCACACUCCUGCUCACUUUCCCUAGCAAAGCAGAUCAAGAGCUUCCUCCCGAGUUCCCGCUGUGGCUCAGCGGUAAUGAACCUGACUAAUAUCCAUGAGGACGCAGCUUCAGUCCCUGGCCUGGUUGAGGAUCCAGUGUUGCAGUGAGCUGUGGUGUAAGUGGCAGACAUAGCUCAGAUCUGGCAUUGCUGUGGCUGUAGCAUAGGCUGGCAGCUGCAGCUCCGAUUCAACCCCGGGCCUGGGAACCUCCGUAUAUCGCAGGUAUGGCCCUAAAAAGAGAAAGAAAAAAAAAAAAGAGCUUCCUCCCAAGGGGGCCAGGCAGGCUGGAGACCCCUAGAAAGGGCAGGAAAGUGAGAGCAGCUCCAGCCUCACCCCUGGGUCCUGGGCGUACCAACCACUCUUUCUUCUCCAAGCUCCUCACUUCUUGCAGCGUGGCUUCCUGCCUGGACCUCCAACCCCACUCCCUGGACUCCCACCCCAGACCCUCCCCCGCUCUGGCCACCCUGGACCCAUUCUUUCCAAGCUCCCCCCUUGCAGUUCCUCGAGGUCCUGGUUCAGCCACAGAGCCUCUGUGCCUCCUCCCCCAUCCGUGUAGGGGGUGGCGCCCGCAUCCCAAAGUUGCUCAUUUUGCUUGGCCACCUGCUAACCCUGUGACCUUCGAUGAGCUUCAAGAGGGAGGGCAGCUGACUGCACUGGGCAAGCGGGUGUGCUGGGUGACUAAUGGUGGACACGCUUCACCUGCAGGGUGACAUUUCCGCACUGAUGCGGAGGAGCCGAGGGGGUGCUGCCGAGAGACCUUUGCGUGGGACCCAGCCGGCUGUGACCCUGGGGCAGAUUCUCACAUUCUCCCGUUUCCUUAGGAAGACGGGUUUGGAGGAAUUUUCAGCCCCAUGCCCAGGGUUCCCCCCAUACCCCAGACCCCGACCUCAUGCAUCCUCUCGCCUCUUCGCUUGCUCCUUCAUUGAUCCAUUCAUUCAGGCAAAGCCUGUGCCUGUACAGGAACAUUCAUUGCUGCUUUGGAAUGAGUCGGAAGCGUUUAUUAUUUUUAUGCUGUUAUCUAUUUUUUGCUUUUUAGGGCCACAGGUGCAGCAUAUGGACAUUCCCAGGCUAGGGGUCCAAUCGGAGCUGCAGCCACCGGCCCACGCCAGAGCCACAGCAACGCGGGAUCCGAGCUGUG
RNAcentral lists this long non-coding RNA (3769 nucleotides) under Sus scrofa (pig). RNAcentral describes it as "lncRNA (ENSSSCG00050068607.1)". Lineage: Eukaryota; Metazoa; Chordata; Mammalia; Artiodactyla; Suidae. The record is from RNAcentral.